This 491-nucleotide ribosomal RNA is filed under the name Treponema sp. oral taxon 257. RNAcentral describes it as "bacterial SSU rRNA". It matches the Rfam family "Bacterial small subunit ribosomal RNA", at positions 29 to 508 of the family's 1533-position model. Lineage: Bacteria; Pseudomonadati; Spirochaetota; Spirochaetia; Treponematales; Treponemataceae. The record is from RNAcentral.
AACGAACGCUGGCGGCGCGUCUUAAGCAUGCAAGUCGAACGGCAAGAUGCCUUCUGGUAUCCUAGAGUGGCGGACUGGUGAGUAACGCGUGGAUGACGUACCCUCGUGACGGGGAUAGCCGGUAGAAAUACCGGGUAAUACCGGAUAAGGUCUCACGGAAUAAAGGCGUGAGAGGAAAGCAGCGUAUGCUGCGCAGGAGGAACGGUCUGCGGCCUAUCAGCUGGUUGGCAGGGUAAAGGCCUACCAAGGCGACGACGGGUAUCCGGCCUGAGAGGGUGGACGGACACAUUGGGACUGAGAUACGGCCCAGACUCCUACGGGAGGCAGCAGCUAAGAAUAUUCCGCAAUGGGGGGAACCCUGACGGAGCGACGCCGCGUGGACGAUGAAGGUCGGAAGAUUGUAAAGUCCUUUUAUACAUGAAGAAGAAGUUGUACAGGAAAUGGUAUGAUGGUGACGGUAGUGUAUGAAUAAGCACCGGCUAAUUACGUGC